GUCUUUGUAGUAUAUAAUUACCUUGGUCUUGUAAACCAAAAAUGGAGAAUUUAACUCUCCCUAAGACU
RNAcentral lists this transfer RNA (68 nucleotides) under Spilogale putorius (eastern spotted skunk). Its description in RNAcentral is "tRNA-Thr". Lineage: Eukaryota; Metazoa; Chordata; Mammalia; Carnivora; Mephitidae. The record is from RNAcentral.